UUUGAAAUCUGGCGUCUUUGGCGUCGAGUUGUAAUUUGAAGAAGGUAUCUUUGGGCCCGGCUCUUGUCUAUGUUCCUUGGAACAGGACGUCACAGAGGGUGAGAAUCCCGUGCGAUGAGAUGACCCGGGUCUGUGUAAAGUUCCUUCGACGAGUCGAGUUGUUUGGGAAUGCAGCUCUAAGUGGGUGGUAAAUUCCAUCUAAAGCUAAAUAUUGGCGAGAGACCGAUAGCGAACAAGUACAGUGAUGGAAAGAUGAAAAGAACUUUGAAAAGAGAGUGAAAAAGUACGUGAAAUUGUUGAAAGGGAAGGGCUUGAGAUCAGACUUGGUAUUUUGCAUGCUGCUCUCUCGGGGGCGGCCGCUGCGGUUUACCGGGCCAGCAUCGGUUUGGAGCGGCAGGAUAAUGGCGGAGGAAUGUGGCACGGCUUCUGCUGUGUGUUAUAGCCUCUGACGAUACUGCCAGCCUAGACCGAGGACUGCGGUUUUUACCUAGGAUGUUGGCAUAAUGAUCUUAAGUCGCCCGUCUUGAAACACGGACCAAGGAGUCUAACGUCUAUGCGAGUGUUUGGGUGUAAAACCCGUACGCGUAAUGAAAGUGAACGAAGGUGGGGGCCCAUUAGGGUGCACCAUCGACCGAUCCUGAUGUGUUCGGAUGGAUUUGAGUAAGAGCAUAGCUGUUGGGACCCGAAAGAUGGUGAACUAUGCCUGAAUAGGGUGAAGCCAGAGGAAACUCUGGUGGAGGCUCGUAGCGGUUCUGACGU
RNAcentral lists this ribosomal RNA (759 nucleotides) under Candida albicans. RNAcentral describes it as "eukaryotic LSU rRNA". It matches the Rfam family "Eukaryotic large subunit ribosomal RNA", at positions 114 to 892 of the family's 3401-position model. The record is from RNAcentral. Lineage: Eukaryota; Fungi; Ascomycota; Pichiomycetes; Serinales; Debaryomycetaceae.